Molecule: non-coding RNA, 620 nt
Organism: Hyla sarda
Lineage: Eukaryota; Metazoa; Chordata; Amphibia; Anura; Hylidae
Source: the annotation of a RefSeq genome assembly
CACACAGAACCUGAGCUGAGGAUCACUGACUGCUCACACCAGACAUGAAGAAUUUCCUGUGGUUCCUCUGUAUUGGAUUGUCCCUACAAUAUGUCACUUCACAGAUCUCCUUAGUGGAGUCUGGUCCUAGGACUGUGAGACCAUCGGAGACUCUGGCCAUGACCUGUAAAGUGACCGGAGUCUCCCUGACUGACAGCAGUAAAAUAUAUUCCAUAGACUGGGUCAGACAACCUGAAGGGAAAGGUCUGGAGUGGUUGGGAAGAAUAGUCUACCAAAAUGACAAAUACUAUGCUCAGUCUCUCCAAGGGCGAUUAACUCUCUCAAGAGACACAAAUAAAGGAGAAGUUUACUUCAAACUCACUGGAAUGAAACCUGAAGAAUCUGGGAAAUAUUAUUGUGCUAAACACAGUGUAACAGAUGAACUGAGGACAUUGACACUGCUGGGAUUUGUAGUGCAUCAUCUGGACACAGUGAUGCAGAAGACAGGUUACUGUCAGAGGCUUCCUGAGAUCAGUAGUUCCUCUGUGCUCCCUCUAAGCUUUAUCUUCGAGAUGAUGGCCACAAUGCAGUGCAUAUGGUUUUAUCAGCCUCUUAAACCCCCUCUGCUGUCUAGCAUUUGA